AUGUGUGUUCCAAAAAUUCAAGGAGGUAUGUGAUUUUGGGACAUUCAUUGUUUCAAUCUAGCAUUACUAGUUAAACAAGCAUGGCAUCUCCUUGAUAAUCCGGAUUCUCUAUGUGCCCGUCUACUGAAAGUAAAAAAUCCUGAUGGCGAUUUGAUGAGUGCAAGCUUAAAAAAGGGCUCUCCUUUUACGUGGCAAAGCAUUAUGGCGGGAGUUAAUUCACUGAAAAAUGGUUAUGGAGAGUUGGAAUGGAUAGAAUAUCGAUAUAUAAAAGAUGCUUGGAUCCCGAAUUAUGCAAAUAGGAAAACUAUUACUCCUAGAGGAGGGCACCUUCUGUCCAAGGUCUCUGAUCUUAUUGAUCCAAUCACGAACUUAUGA
Molecule: ribosomal RNA, 375 nt
Filed under: Triticum aestivum (bread wheat)
Lineage: Eukaryota; Viridiplantae; Streptophyta; Magnoliopsida; Poales; Poaceae
Description: partial small subunit ribosomal RNA
Source: RNAcentral